ACCAUGGUUUCUUUUUCUUCCCUACGUUGUAUUUCUACUUCCUCCUCAAAAACACUGUCUGCAUCUCUAAAGAAGACACAGAUUUCUUAAGAUAUAUUGGGGAAUGGUAGACGUCCUUUUUCUUAGGGCAUAUCAUCUGGGAAUGGUUAGCUCCCUCCCGAAUCUCAUUAAGAAGUUUUUCAAUUCUUCAUCCCCUGAUCUGGGAAUAUUAGGAAGACAUGCGUCGAGAAGGGAAUAUAGUAGUAGUUCCAAUGGGUGUACUAACGACUGCAGCAGCAUCAAAAAGUUGGGUUUCAUUAGAUUCUACCGGUAAAGCUACAGUCUUAGAUGUUGAUAUUUUGCAUAGACUUCAGAUUCAUGCAAGAGAUUUCCGGAUUCUUGAUCCUUUAUUAUCUUAUCCUUGUGCCAUUUUAGGGAGAGAAAAAGCCAUUCUUGUUAAUCUAGAGCAUUUCAAAGCUAUAAUAACUGCAGAAGAGGUAUUACUUCGGUAUCCAAUGGAUGAUAAUGUAAUUCCCAUUGUUGAAGAACUUAAAACGCGGCUUCUUCCAGGAGACAAAGAAGAUGAAUCUCCCUUUGAGUUCCUGGCUUUAGAAGUGGCACUCGAAGCUGUUUGUAAUUUUCUCGAUGCCCGGGCAACAGAUUUGGAGGCUGCUUCUUAUCCAGCAUUAGAUGAGCUGACAUCCAAGAUUAGUAGUCGUAGCUUGGAUGGUGUUUGUAAACUGAAGAUUGAAAUAACGAGAUUGGCUGCAUGCGUGCAAAAGGUUAGAGAUGUGCUUAAACAACUUUUAAACGAUGGCGACAAUAUGGCCGAAAUGUACUUAUCACGGAAACUACCUUCAUCAUCUUCCAUCAGUGGAAGUGCAGGAACAUUUCCGGGAGAUAAUCCGAACGAUGUUAAAGAGCUUAAAAUGCUGCUUGAGGCAUACUUCGUAGAAGCUGACCGUACCUUGAACAGAUUGACCACCUUAGGUAAAUAUAUUGAUGUCACCGAGGAGUACAAGCUCAAAAAUCACAGAAAUCAGUCGAGUCAGUUGGAGCACCUCCUAAAUUCUGGUACUCUUUGCCAGUCAAUGUAUUCCGCCGUGGUUGGGAUAUUUGACAUAAAUAUACCAUUUACAUGGAAUCAUGCCCCAUAUGACUUUGUGUUUAAAUGGGUGGUUAUUGUCCCGGGAGUGGUAUGUGCAGCUGUUUUUGGACUGAUUGUAGAGUAUGCCCGCCGCAAGGGUCUUGUUGGGUAAUAGUUAAGAAAACCUUUCUUUCAGUACUACCACCAUAUUAUGAUCAGGAAUUAGGGCUUUUAUUUUUGAUGCGAGCGCCCGGUUGUUGUUCUAGCUCUAUGUCUUCUUGGAAACUUCUCUCCAUUGCAUCUACUUGUUCACUAGGCAACCACAUUUUCCUCCUCGUCUCCGCUUGGUUGUUGAUAUAUGCACUACUAGACCAUAGCUUCGUCAUCUCCGCUCCUACAUAUCCUAUUCCGAUUGCAAAAACAGACUAGCUUGUUAACAGAUAGUUUCACACGCAAGCACGAUGGAAAAAAUAGAGUUCUUGGCCGCGAAAAAUACACAUGGAAAACAAACGGUUUAAACUUGGAAAUGUGUCGCCGAAGGAUUCAUAGUGGCAGUAAUACUCAAAAAGAAACGGAACAUAAUUUUGUCGGUGUUGUUGCUCUCUUCUUGAUGUUGUACUAGUUGGGGAAGGAAUGUGAGAAGUACUACUACUGCAAUUACUCCUAUUAGCCAU
This is an RNA transcript of Papaver somniferum (opium poppy), 1740 nucleotides long. It is a transcript of the gene named magnesium transporter MRS2-I-like, with no coding region annotated. The record is from RefSeq and is a predicted model, not a curated record. NCBI's taxonomy places the organism in Eukaryota, Viridiplantae, Streptophyta, Magnoliopsida, Ranunculales, Papaveraceae. The transcript has 2 exons.